UACGUAGGGUGCGAGCGUUGUCCGGAAUCAUUGGGCGUAAAGAGCGUGUAGGCGGCUUGGUAAGUCCGCUGUGAAAGUCCAGGGCUCAACCCUGGAAUGCCGGUGGAAACUGUCAAGCUUGAGUCCGGAAGAGGCGAGUGGAAUUCCUGGUGUAGCGGUGAAAUGCGCAGAGAUCGGAAAGAACACCAACGGCGAAAGCACUCUGCUGGGCCGACACUGACACUGAGAGACGAAAGCUAGGGGAGCGAAUGGG
Molecule: ribosomal RNA, 253 nt
Filed under: uncultured bacterium
Lineage: Bacteria
Description: partial 16S ribosomal RNA
Rfam family: Bacterial small subunit ribosomal RNA
Source: RNAcentral